This 497-nucleotide ribosomal RNA is filed under the name uncultured bacterium. RNAcentral's name for it is "partial 16S ribosomal RNA". It matches the Rfam family "Bacterial small subunit ribosomal RNA", at positions 28 to 507 of the family's 1533-position model. The record is from RNAcentral.
GAUGAACGCUGGCGGCGUGCCUAAUACAUGCAAGUCGAGCGAACGGACGAGAAGCUUGCUUCUCUGAUGUUAGCGGCGGACGGGUGAGUAACACGUGGAUAACCUACCUAUAAGACUGGGAUAACUUCGGGAAACCGGAGCUAAUACCGGAUAAUAUUUUGAACCGCAUGGUUCAAAAGUGAAAGACGGUCUUGCUGUCACUUAUAGAUGGAUCCGCGCUGCAUUAGCUAGUUGGUAAGGUAACGGCUCACCAAGGCAACGAUGCAUAGCCGACCUGAGAGGGUGAUCGGCCACACUGGAACUGAGACACGGUCCAGACUCCUACGGGAGGCAGCAGUAGGGAAUCUUCCGCAAUGGGCGAAAGCCUGACGGAGCAACGCCGCGUGAGUGAUGAAGGUCUUCGGAUCGUAAAACUCUGUUAUUAGGGAAGAACAUAUGUGUAAGUAACUGUGCACAGCUUGACGGUACCUAAUCAGAAAGCCACGGCUAACUACGUG